RNAcentral lists this ribosomal RNA (1473 nucleotides) under Triticum aestivum (bread wheat). RNAcentral describes it as "partial small subunit ribosomal RNA". The record is from RNAcentral. Lineage: Eukaryota; Viridiplantae; Streptophyta; Magnoliopsida; Poales; Poaceae.
AUGGAUGAAGCUGGGGCACUGAUGCCAUCGUGGAUGGAACUGUGGAAUGAGUGGGAGAUCCAAGUAGUUGUUGUCGCCAGCUUCAGUCUACAGGUUAUCCUCUUCUUCUUCGCAGGGAUCCGCCGCUACAGCAUCUCGUCUGUUCUCAGGGUCCUCCUCUGGCUGAUAUAUCUGCUUGCCGAUGUCGUUGCGACGUAUGGCCUGGGGCACAUGUCCUCGGUCAUGUCAAAGAAAUCAUCCGGCGAGCACCAGCUGGUGGCAUUCUGGGCGCCAUUCCUCCUGCUGCACCUUGGUGGCCAGGAUACCAUCACCGCUUACGCCCUGGAGGACAAUGAACUCUGGCGGCGCCACCUGUUAAAUAUGUUGGUGCAGGUCGCCGGCACUGCGUAUGUGCUCUACAAGUACAUCAAUUCAGGGGAGGCGACCUUUGUCCGUGCCGCUAUGUUGAUUCUUGCUGCCGGGGUUUUCAAGUAUGGCGAGAGGAUAUGGGCGCUGAAUCUUGCAAGCAAGGGUGAUACCACAAGGCCAAGACGUGAUCCAGAGGCCAACACUAUUCCUUAUUCUCCUGCCAAAAGGGAGACACAGCAAAAACAUGAAGACUGGCGUCGCCAAAACGGUGGAGACUGCUUCACCAAAAACAAACAGUUUAGAGCAUAUGCAUUUAUUGUGACGGCGGCACAUGCGUUGCGCCAUGUACUUGUCAAGCCUUUAAUCAUAGACAGGAAUGAGGCGUCCAUAGACUGGUAUGGGGCAUUCAUGGACCAGAAUUACAGUACAAUGUAUCUCGCAGAUAGUCUUGUACGAGGCUUUGACUGCCAAGACGACGAGAGCGAAGAUGCAUCGGCAACGGAGAAGAGGACUAUUAAGAAGCUGUACAAGGGAGUAGAGGUGCAGCUCGGCCUAAUGUACGACAUGUUGUACACCAAGGCACAAGUGAUCCACAAAAGCCGUGGCCACUGGAUCCGUGCCAUUUCACUUGUGUGUUGCUUCGCCGCUCUUGUGGUCUUCACAAAAAGCAAGAGAGAUGGAUACAGCACACCCGACAUUGUUAUCACUUUUGCUCUUCUGGGCGGAGCAUGCGCACUAGAGGUCACAUCUUUUUUCAAGGCGAUUGGGUCAACAUGGGCAUUUGACAUCUUGAGACGCUACAGAUGGAAGUGGCUGGCCAAUGCAGUUUUGUUUGCACGUUACCACCUCGUCGUCGUCAAGGAGGGAAGGUGGUCCAAUUCCGUCGGGCAAUUUGAUUUCAUAUCCUUCUGUGCUCACAGCAGCAAGAGGGGCCUCAAGGGAACAAUAGCCCGUUUGAUUGAGUCAAGGACUUUUGGGACAAAGCUCGCUGCACCAAACAUGCCAAGCUUUCGCCUACCCUCAAGGUCAAGGAGUUCGUAUGGGGCUUGCUCAAAGGUGACAAGACUCAUAUGUUUGAAAUUGAAAUUGAAGAGGUGGACAUGCGGAGUGGGAACUGGGCUCGCA